RNAcentral lists this ribosomal RNA (593 nucleotides) under uncultured bacterium. RNAcentral describes it as "bacterial SSU rRNA". It matches the Rfam family "Bacterial small subunit ribosomal RNA", at positions 37 to 623 of the family's 1533-position model. The record is from RNAcentral.
UGGCGGCGUGUCUUAGCAUGCAAGUUGAGCGGCAAGGGCAGCAAUGCCCCUAGAGCGGCGGACUGGUGAGUAACGCGUGGGUGAUCUACCCAAGGCAUGGGGAUAGCCAUUAGAAAUAGUGGGUAAUACCGAAUACGCUUAUGCAGGUGAGCUGCAUAAGGAAAGGUGCUACGACACCGGCCUAGAGAUGAGCCCGCGUCCCAUUAGCUAGUUGGUGAGGUAACGGCCCACCAAGGCGAUGAUGGGUAGCCGGCCUGAGAGGGUGUACGGCCACACUGGGACUGAGAUACGGCCCAGACUCCUACGGGAGGCAGCAGCUAAUAAUAUUCCGCAAUGGACGAAAGUCUGACGGAGCGACGCCGCGUGGAUGAAGAAGGCCGAAAGGUUGUAAAAUCCUUCUGCUGAGGAAGAAUAAGUGUGGGAGGGAAUGCCCGCACGAUGACAUGAAUCGGCGAAUAAUCCCCGGCCAACUACGUGCCAGCAGCCGCGGUAACACGUAGGGGGCGAGCGUUGUUCGGAAUUACUGGGCGUAUAGGGCAUGUAGGCUGUUAUGUAAGCCUGGCGUGAAAGUCCACCACUUAACUGUGGGAUUG